Molecule: long non-coding RNA, 866 nt
Filed under: Homo sapiens (human)
Lineage: Eukaryota; Metazoa; Chordata; Mammalia; Primates; Hominidae
Description: testis expressed transcript, Y-linked 12
Source: RNAcentral
AGUGAAGGGAUGAGAGCCAAAACACCUACAGAAUGGGCCAAAGAAACGAGGAUGAAUUGCCACAUCAUCUGGUUCUGAGUUCUGAGAUAUUCACAAGUCCCCUUAGAAAACAACUCAGGCAAGAGAGUUACAUCACCUAGGAGCCCGUUCCACCCUUAUGUCACAGUGCUUCAUGUGUACAGGACUAAGAAGAAAGUCACAUCACCUAGAUGAUAGACCCAGAGACACGUCACAAAGCCUUCCUGAAAGCAUGGCCCUGGCAAAAUAGUACAAUCACCUUUGUACCUGGUCUAGCAAUAUGUCAUUAUUCAAGUGUGCAGGUACCAAGGAGAGGAGCCAUACUACCUAUGUUAUAUGCCCUGUGCUAUGUCAAAAUGCCUUCUUUUCAGCAUGGCCCUGGAAGAAUGUAUCAUCUCAUAUGUGACUGGCCUAGGAAGAUGUCACUAUCCUGCCAUGUGUGCAGGGCCCAUUUUAGAGAUUAGAGUUAUGUCUUCUUCUAAGUCAUGGACCCAGUGAUAUAUCACUAUGAUGUCUGUGAGAAUGGGCAGGCAGGAAUGUAAUGUCACUUGCAUUCUAGAUCCAGUGAUGUCACAAUUCUUACUGAGGGCAGAGCCCAGUCAGAAGAGUCAUAUCUUUUACAGGUUGGCCCAAGUAGAUGUCAAAAACCCCUAUGGAUUAGAUUUACAAUACCACACAUCUCUUGUUUUCAUGUAGGAGAGUUGCCUGCAUUCAUCUGUGAUGAUGAAAGUCCUUACUGUCAGCCAAGUGUGCAUAUGAGACUCACAAUUUCCUCUGUUUGCUAACCACUAUUAUGACACUCUCUAUUCAACCCAACGGUUUUAUAAAACAUUUGUCAUUGUUAUAAA